RNAcentral lists this ribosomal RNA (501 nucleotides) under uncultured bacterium. RNAcentral's name for it is "partial 16S ribosomal RNA". It matches the Rfam family "Bacterial small subunit ribosomal RNA", at positions 30 to 523 of the family's 1533-position model. The record is from RNAcentral.
AUUGAACGCUGGCGGCAGGCUUAACACAUGCAAGUCGAGCGGGGUGAUGGUGCUUGCACUAUCACUUAGCGGCGGACGGGUGAGUAAUGCUUAGGAAUCUGCCUAUUAGUGGGGGACAACAUCUCGAAAGGGAUGCUAAUACCGCAUACGUCCUACGGGAGAAAGCAGGGGAUCUUCGGACAUUGUGCUAAUUGAUGAGCCUAAGUCGGAUUAGCUAGUUGGGGGGGUAAAGGCCUACCAAGGCGACGAUCUGUAGCGGGUCUGAGAGGAUGAUCCGCCACACUGGGACUGAGACACGGCCCAGACUCCUACGGGAGGCAGCAGUGGGGAAUAUUGGACAAUGGGGGGAACCCUGAUCCAGCCAUGCCGCGUGUGUGAAGAAGGCCUUAUGGUUGUAAAGCACUUUAAGCGAGGAGGAGGCUCUUUUGGUUAAUACCCAAGAUGAGUGGACGUUACUCGCAGAAUAAGCACCGGCUAACUCUGUGCCAGCCGCCGCAGUAA